This 313-nucleotide ribosomal RNA is filed under the name uncultured Glomeromycotina. Its description in RNAcentral is "LSU rRNA". Lineage: Eukaryota; Fungi; Glomeromycota. The record is from RNAcentral.
UUGGAAAGGGAAACGAUUGAAGUCAGUCAUGCCGGUGGGAAUCAACUUAGGGGAAACUCUAGGUGCACUUCUUCGCUUGGCAGGUCAACGUCGAUUUUGAAUGUCAUAAAAUAAUUGGGGGAAGGUAGCUCCUUCGGGAGUGUUAUAGCCCUUGAUAGAUGUGAUGUUUGGGGUCGAGGAUUGCAACGGAUACCCUCUGGGGCUAGCCGCCUGAUCUCUAAUCGGUGUUGGGUUACGGAUAGCAUGCUGACCGUGAUCUAAUUACUGGUUAAAAGGUUAGAGCAUGCAUAAAUUCGUUAAGGAUGUUGACGUA